GGGCCGGGGUCACCCCCCCCCCCACUCCUCGCGCAGACCUGCCAUCAGGACGUAGGGGGCGCGCCGGGCUGGGCGCGCCUGGCGGGGCCCGGCGCCCGGGGAGGGGCCUGCUCCCGGGGGCAGGACGGCGCCCGGAGGCCGGGGCCGGCGGGGAGGGCCGGGCGGGGGCGGGGACGCUGGCCGAGGCCGCCGCCCGUGUGGCGCGCCGGGGCUCCGCUCCCGUUCCCGGCGCCGCGCACUGCCCGGCGGGGCCAGGGACUGCCGGGGAGGCGGCGCCGGCCGGCGGGGCGGGGGCCCAGAAGUGGGUUUCGGGCCGCCGCCCGCACUGGCACCGGGCGCAGAGGGCGGUUCACGGCGGACUCCGAGCCCCGGCACCGCACCGGGCAGUCUCCGGAUCUGCCGUUCUGUCCCGGCCGGGAAAACCCGGCGCCUUCCAGGCCCUUCGAAAGAUGGAUUCUGUUGACGUAUCUGGCGGCCCUGGCGAGCCGGGUGGAAAGUUGGGUUUUGCCAGAUCGCGCCGGGCUCCUCUUUGUGAUGCGCGGCCAGCCCCGCAUUCCCCCGGAGCCGGGCCA
Molecule: long non-coding RNA, 572 nt
Filed under: Callithrix jacchus (white-tufted-ear marmoset)
Lineage: Eukaryota; Metazoa; Chordata; Mammalia; Primates; Cebidae
Description: lncRNA (ENSCJAG00000085756.1)
Source: RNAcentral